AGCGAACGCUGGCGGCAGGCCUAACACAUGCAAGUCGAACGAACUCUUCGGAGUUAGUGGCGGACGGGUGAGUAACACGUGGGAACGUGCCCUUAGGUUAGGAAUAACUCAGGGAAAGUUGUGCUAAUACCGCAUGUGCUCUUCGGGGGUAAGAUUUAUCGCCUUUAGAGCGGCCCGCGUCUGAUUAGCUAGUUGGUGAUGUAAAGGCUCACCAAGGCGACGAUCAGUAGCUGGUCUGAUAGGAUGAUCAUCCACAUUGGGACUGAGACACGGCCCAAACUCCUACGGAAGGCAGCAGUAGGGAGUCUUGCGCAAUGAGCGAAAGCCUGACGCAGCCAUGCCGCGUAAAUGAUGAAGGUCUUAGGAUUGUAAAAUUCUUUCACCGGGAACGAUAAUGACGGUACCCGGAGAAGAAGCCCCGGCUAACUUCGUG
This 433-nucleotide ribosomal RNA is filed under the name uncultured bacterium. RNAcentral's name for it is "partial 16S ribosomal RNA". It matches the Rfam family "Bacterial small subunit ribosomal RNA", at positions 29 to 507 of the family's 1533-position model. The record is from RNAcentral.